Molecule: long non-coding RNA, 357 nt
Filed under: Panax ginseng (ginseng)
Lineage: Eukaryota; Viridiplantae; Streptophyta; Magnoliopsida; Apiales; Araliaceae
Description: long non-coding RNA (PGIN_LNC010530)
Source: RNAcentral
UCUUGUAAAUUAUGCAAGUUUUCGUAAACUUUAAUUACUACUGCUAUAUAUAUAUUUUUAUUUAAAAAAAUCAUCAAUUUAUUAUUUUAGGAUCUCCAAAAUCAAUCAUAGACUACUCCCUCCGUUCAAUCUGAUUGGAAUAAAGUGAUAAUAAUAAUAAGUACAUCCGUAUAAGUAUUACAUUAAUAAAUAAACUCUCCCAUCUUUAAAGAUCGCUCUUAGUUCUUGAAUUACAAAACUACUUGCUCAUGAUGAAAAAAACAACCUACUAAAUUUAAUAAUUUAAUAUGGAACCACGUGAUUUAUCCCCACUUUAUAUAAUGUAUAAUAUACUUACUUAUUACUGAUGAAAUUUCC